This 484-nucleotide ribosomal RNA is filed under the name uncultured bacterium. RNAcentral's name for it is "partial 16S ribosomal RNA". It matches the Rfam family "Bacterial small subunit ribosomal RNA", at positions 30 to 507 of the family's 1533-position model. The record is from RNAcentral.
AUUGAACGCUGGCGGCAGGCCUAACACAUGCAAGUCGAGCGGAUGAAGGGAGCUUGCUCCUGGAUUCAGCGGCGGACGGGUGAGUAAUGCCUAGGAAUCUGCCUGGUAGUGGGGGAUAACGUCCGGAAACGGGCGCUAAUACCGCAUACGUCCUGAGGGAGAAAGUGGGGGAUCUUCGGACCUCACGCUAUCAGAUGAGCUUAGGUCGGAUUAGCUAGUUGGUGGGGUAAGGGCCUACCAAGGCGACGAUCCGUAACUGGUCUGAGAGGAUGAUCAGUCACACUGGAACUGAGACACGGUCCAUACUCCUACGGGAGGCAGCAGUGGGGAAUGUUGGACAAUGGGCGAAAGCCUGAUCCAGCCAUGCCGCGUGUGUGAAGAAGGUCUUCGGAUUGUAAAGCACUUUAAGUUGGGAGGAAGGGCAGUAAGUUAAUACCUUGCUGUUUUGACGUUACCAACAGAAUAAGCACCGGCUAACUUCGUG